GCUCCGAUAGUGUAGCAGGCCAAUCAUUCUGGCCUUUCAAGCCAGAGACUCGGGUUCAAAUCCCGAUCGGAGCA
This 74-nucleotide transfer RNA is filed under the name Methanobacteriota archaeon. RNAcentral's name for it is "Euryarchaeota archaeon tRNA-Glu". It matches the Rfam family "tRNA". Rfam says of the family: Transfer RNA (tRNA) molecules are approximately 80 nucleotides in length. Lineage: Archaea; Methanobacteriati; Methanobacteriota. RNAcentral also lists the same sequence under 1 other name. The record is from RNAcentral.